AUUGAACGCUGGCGGCAGGCCUAACACAUGCAAGUCGAGCGGAUGAAGGGAGCUUGCUCCUGGAUUCAGCGGCGGACGGGUGAGUAAUGCCUAGGAAUCUGCCUGGUAGUGGGGGAUAACGUCCGGAAACGGGCGCUAAUACCGCAUACGUCCUGAGGGAGAAAGUGGGGGAUCUUCGGACCUCACGCUAUCAGGUGAGCCUAGGUCGGAUUAGCUAGUUGGUGGGGUAAAGGCCUACCAAGGCGACGACCCGUAACUGGUCUGAGAGGAUGAUCAGUCACACUGGAACUGAGACACGGUCCAGACUCCUACGGGAGGCAGCAGUGGGGAAUAUUGGACAAUGGGCGAAAGCCUGAUCCAGCCAUGCCGCGUGUGUGAAGAAGGUCUUCGGAUUGUAAAGCACUUUAAGUUGGGAGGAAGGGCAGUAAGUUAAUACCUUGCUGUUUUGACGUUACCAACAGAAUAAGCACCGGCUAACUUCGUG
This 484-nucleotide ribosomal RNA is filed under the name uncultured bacterium. RNAcentral describes it as "partial 16S ribosomal RNA". It matches the Rfam family "Bacterial small subunit ribosomal RNA", at positions 30 to 507 of the family's 1533-position model. The record is from RNAcentral.